This is a long non-coding RNA of Poeciliopsis prolifica (blackstripe livebearer), 360 nucleotides long. RefSeq lists it as uncharacterized. The record is from RefSeq and is a predicted model, not a curated record. Lineage: Eukaryota; Metazoa; Chordata; Actinopteri; Cyprinodontiformes; Poeciliidae. The transcript is spliced from 3 exons.
UGUAUGUUAUCGUUUGGAAGUGAAAGGUAACCGAAGUGAGGGUUUUCCCUUUAAAUUAACCAAAUGGCUACCUUGACAACGAUCAUUACCCAGCAAGGCGUCUGCUUAAGUUGACCAGAAUGCUUCCUAGUCAGGAAGCAUCGUGGUGAUCUACAGCAAGAUCCAACGUUGACAAAUGGAGAAAACAUGUAAAAAUGGUGAACAUUCUCAGGAAUGACCACAAAAGAACCAAGAACUACAUCUAACCCACUGCAGAUAAGUUAAGGUAAAGGUUCGGUCACCUUCCUUGCAGCGACGCUCCCCUCCGGAGAUCUUCAGAAACCUAAAGGUUUACCAGGCGAAGAGCAGAGAUUGGGUCCU